Non-coding RNA from Podarcis lilfordi (Lilford's wall lizard), 66 nucleotides. Lineage: Eukaryota; Metazoa; Chordata; Lepidosauria; Squamata; Lacertidae. The record is from the annotation of a GenBank genome assembly.
GAUAGCACAAUCGGUCGAGCAUGAGACUCAAUCUCAGGGUUGUGGGUUCGAGCCCCGCAGAAAGCA